RNAcentral lists this ribosomal RNA (483 nucleotides) under uncultured bacterium. RNAcentral's name for it is "partial 16S ribosomal RNA". It matches the Rfam family "Bacterial small subunit ribosomal RNA", at positions 28 to 507 of the family's 1533-position model. The record is from RNAcentral.
GACGAACGCUGGCGGCGUGCUUAACACAUGCCAGUCGAACGCUGAAGCUCAGCUUUUGUUGGGUGGAUGAGUGGCGAACGGGUGAGUAACACGUGAGUAACCUGCCUCCUUCUUUGGGAUAACGCCCGGAAACGGGUGCUAAUACUGGAUAUUCACUGGUCUUCGCAUGGGGGUUGGUGGAAAGGGUUUUUCUGGUGGGGGAUGGGCUCGCGGCCUAUCAGCUUGUUGGUGGGGUGAUGGCCUACCAAGGCUUUGACGGGUAGCCGGCCUGAGAGGGUGACCGGUAACAUUGGGACUGAGAUACGGCCCAGACUCCUACGGGAGGCAGCAGUGGGGAAUAUUGCACAAUGGGCGCAAGCCUGAUGCAGCGACGCCGCGUGAGGGAUGGAGGCCUUCGGGUUGUGAACCUCUUUCGCUCAUGGUCAAGCCGCAACAAUGGUUGUGGUGAGGGUAGUGGGUAAAGAAGCGCCGGCUAACUACGUG